Molecule: ribosomal RNA, 485 nt
Filed under: uncultured bacterium
Lineage: Bacteria
Description: bacterial SSU rRNA
Rfam family: Bacterial small subunit ribosomal RNA
Source: RNAcentral
ACGACUACACUCCUACGGGAGGCAGCAGUGGGGAAUAUUGCACAAUGGGGGAAACCCUGAUGCAGCCAUGCCGCGUGUGUGAAGAAGGCCUUCGGGUUGUAAGGCACUUUCAGUAGGGAGGAAAGGGUAAGGUUUAAUACGCCUUAUCUGUGACGUUACCUACAGAAGAAGGACCGGCUAACUCCGUGCCAGCAGCCGCGGUAAUACGGAGGGUCCGAGCGUUAAUCGGAAUUACUGGGCGUAAAGCGUGCGCAGGCGGUUUGUUAAGCGAGAUGUGAAAGCCCUGGGCUCAACCUAGGAAUAGCAUUUCGAACUGGCGAACUAGAGUCUUGUAGAGGGGGGUAGAAUUCCAGGUGUAGCGGUGAAAUGCGUAGAGAUCUGGAGGAAUACCGGUGGCGAAGGCGGCCCCCUGGACAAAGACUGACGCUCAGGUGCGAAAGCGUGGGGAGCAAACAGGAUUAGAUACCCUGGUAGUCCACCAAUCC